RNAcentral lists this ribosomal RNA (526 nucleotides) under Zyxomma elgneri. RNAcentral describes it as "partial 16S ribosomal RNA". It matches the Rfam family "Bacterial large subunit ribosomal RNA", at positions 1808 to 2609 of the family's 2925-position model. The record is from RNAcentral. Lineage: Eukaryota; Metazoa; Arthropoda; Insecta; Odonata; Libellulidae.
CAAAAACAUGUCCUUUUGNGNNNAACUUAAGGUCUGACCUGCCCAGUGAUAAGUUUUAACGGCCGCGGUAUCUUGACCGUGCAAAGGUAGCAUAAUCAUUAGUCUUUUAAUAGAGGGCUGGAAUGAAAGGUUUGACGAAGAAUAAGCUGUCUCAUUUUAUUUGUUUUAAAAUUUAAUUUUUUAGUCAAAAAGCUGAAAUGAUGUUGGAAGACGAGAAGACCCUAUAGAUCUUUAUAAUAUUUUAUUUAAUUAUUUUAUAUUAAUGCUAUUAUUUAAAAUUUUAUUUUGUUGGGGUGACAAAAAUAUAUGUUUAACUUUUUUAUUUAUGAUACAUUGAUUAAUGAUUAUUUGAUCCAUUAUUAGUGAUUAUUAGACUAAGUUACCUUAGGGAUAACAGCGNAAUCCUCCUUUGAAGUUCUUAUUUACAGGAUGGGCUUGCGACCUCGAUGUUGGAUUAAGAUUAUAGUUAGGUGUAGCCGCUUAAUAUAUAGGNNNNNUCGACCUUUAAAUUCUUACAUGAUCUGAG